AAUGUAUUCAACUGCCUAACAGCGAUAAGAUUUUACAUCGCACAAAUCAAAGAUAAGUUCGAAUGAUCAACUGUUAUCCAAACGAAGUCAAACUUUGCGAAUCAAAGUUUCAAACUGGUUCGUUGAAUUUGAUAGUAGAGCAUCUUAUAAAGUCCAGGAUUUAUGAAAUUCUCGUUUAAGCAGAUGCUGCUAUAUAGCACUAUUAGCCCUAGUCAUCCGUUGCUGUUAUUUUACUUCCCUCAACCUUCAUGGAGGCUCCUGCAGAACCGCAACAACAAACCAGAGAUUCACCAGUUAACCAUGGAGAACCAGGCUUGCAAAGGAACACUUCUGCGACCAACCGAUGUCGACUUCCGAAGCUAAUACAUUACAAAUGGUGGCUUCGUGUGAUUCUCUACAUUCUCUUCCUUCUUGUUGGCCAAACAGCUGCUACUCUGCUAGGAAGAUUGUACUAUGACAAAGGUGGAAAUAGCAAAUGGAUGGCAACAUUUGUUCAAUCAGCCGGUUUCCCAAUUCUAUUUCCCGUUCUAUUUUUCUUCUCAUCUUCCACCAAAUCAAACAACCCGUCUGUUAAUUCUUCCUUUACAACCAACCCAAAACUCUCCACCCUUCUGCUUCUCUAUGCCGCCUUUGGCCUACUUUUGGUGGGUGACAACUUGAUGUACUCGUAUGGACUUUUAUACCUUCCUGUCUCUACUUAUUCUCUGCUUUGUGCGACCCAAUUGGCCUUCAAUGCAUUGUUCUCAUACUUUCUCAAUUCACAGAAGUUUACCUCUUACAUCCUCAACUGUUUAGUCCUUCUCACCAUUUCAGCCUCACUUCUUGCGGUCAAUGCAGACUCUGAAAACACUACAAGCAUUAGUAGAGGAAAGUAUGUAAUUGGAUUUUUAUGCACGCUUGGAGCAUCUGCGACCUACUCAUUGUACCUUUCCCUGCUGCAGCUUUCUUUUGAGAAGGUUAUUAAAAGAGAGACAUUUUCUGUUGUUUUGGAUAUGCAAAUGUACCCAUCAUUUGUUGCAACAUGCGGGUGUGUAGUGGGAUUAUUUGCCAGUCGAGAAUGGCAGGGUUUGUCAAAAGAGAUGAAAGAAUUUGAAGAAGGCAAAGUAUCAUAUCUAAUGACUCUGACUUGGACAGCAGUGACUUGGCAAAUUUCAUCAGUGGGAUUGUUGGGGUUAAUUUUUGAGGUAUCUUCUUUAUUUUCCAAUGUGAUUAGCACUUUGGCUUUGCCUAUUGUUCCCAUUUUCGCUGUCAUAUUUUUCCAUGAUAAGAUGCAAGGGGUGAAGGUCAUUGCCAUGCUGUUGGCAAUCUGGGGCUUUGCUUCCUACAUCUAUCAGCAUUAUUUAGAUGAUUUGAAAUCCGAAGCAAACAAAAGCAAAUCCAAUGAGGUUUCUGAGGCUGCUAUAGAGAUUUGUUGACAGUGGAAGUUAUCAAUUAGCAAUUUGGAAACACAGUUGAGAUGGCUUGCUGGAUUUUCUGCUUUGAAGUCCAAGAUGCUAACCUGAAUUAUUGCUUGCCCAGGUUCGCCGCAUUCUGAAGGAACUUGUGAGAAGAUCAUCAAUAGAAACUCAGGAGCUGAUGCGCUUUCCAACUCUUCUAGCUGAGAUUGCAGCAGGACCAGAUAUGCCCAAAGUUAAUAGGAAGCCUACGGCCGAGCAACUUGCUCAGUUACUCAAUGAAGACUCGCAGUUGAUGGAAAGGAGAGAGCAAUGUGCCAAGAGGCUUGAGUUAUACAGGUCUGCUAGAGAUGAGAUUGAUUGUGUCUCAUGGAUUAGAUGCAAGAAUUGUGAAUCACAGGACAUACCAGGGCACAAAGAUUUUCCAGUUGCAGGUCUUCUAGUCAAACUUGAACAGAAAUCGAAAGAUUAAACCAUCAUAGUAUUUCCUUUCAGUUGUUUCUGUCUCUUUUCAAAUUAUUGAUCGUUUAUAAGUUACAAAUACACUGAAAGGACAAAACAAUAUAGAAUUAAAUUCCAGACAAAAACACAGUAAUUGCAGCCGCUUGAGGAUAAAUUUGAUUAUAUUUCUAAUCCUCUACUUAUACUAUAGAUGAUAAGUAGAAAAGGUGGAGCUGCGGAGGACAAAGUGGGCAUUAAGAGCAUUAUUCAAUAUUAUUUAGAGUAAACCUUGUGACUUUGAAA
This is an RNA transcript of Mangifera indica (mango), 2138 nucleotides long. It is a transcript of the gene named probable purine permease 11, with no coding region annotated. The record is from RefSeq and is a predicted model, not a curated record. Lineage: Eukaryota; Viridiplantae; Streptophyta; Magnoliopsida; Sapindales; Anacardiaceae. The transcript has 5 exons.